This 254-nucleotide small RNA is filed under the name Otolemur garnettii (small-eared galago). RNAcentral describes it as "Metazoan signal recognition particle RNA (ENSOGAG00000026039.1)". The record is from RNAcentral. Lineage: Eukaryota; Metazoa; Chordata; Mammalia; Primates; Galagidae.
GCUGGGUGCUAUGGCAGGCACCUGUGGUCCCAGCUACUCGGGUGGCUGAGGCAAGAGAAUCACUAAGCGCAAAAACUGGAAGUUGCUGUGAGCUGUGUGACACCACGGCACUCUACGGAGGGAGACAAAGUGAGACUUUGUCUCUACCAAAAAAAGAGAGAGAGAGACAGUCUCACUUUGUCGCCCUCAGUGGAGUGCUGUGGCAUCAUAGCCACAGCAACCUCCAACUCUUGGGCUGAAGCAAUGCUCUUGCC